AUGCAAGUCGAACGAGACCUUCAGGUCUAGUGGCGCACGGGUGCGUAACGCGUGGAAACCUGCCUUUAGGUUCGGAAUAACUCAGAGAAAUUUGAGCUAAUACCGGAUAAUGUCUUCGGACCAAAGAUUUAUCGCCUUUAGAUGGGCCCGCGUUGGAUUAGCUAGUUGGUGGGGUAAAGGCCUACCAAGGCGACGAUCCAUAGCUGGUCUGAGAGGAUGAUCAGCCACACUGGGACUGAGACACGGCCCAGACUCCUACGGGAGGCAGCAGUGGGGAAUAUUGGACAAUGGGCGAAAGCCUGAUCCAGCAAUGCCGCGUGAGUGAUGAAGGCCUUAGGGUUGUAAAGCUCUUUUACCCGAGAUGAUAAUGACAGUAUCGGGAGAAUAAGCUCCGGCUAACUCCGUGCCAGCAGCCGCGGUAAUACGGAGGGAGCUAGCGUUGUUCGGAAUUACUGGGCGUAAAGCGCACGUAGGCGGCUUUUUAAGUCAGGGGUGAAAUCCCGGGGCUCAACCCCGGAACUGCCCUUGAAACUGGGAAGCUAGAAUCUUGGAGAGGCGAGUGGAAUUCCGAGUGUAGAGGUGAAAUUCGUAGAUAUUCGGAAGAACACCAGUGGCGAAGGCGACUCGCUGGACAAGUAUUGACGCUGAGGUGCGAAAGCGUGGGUAGCAAACAGGAUUAGAUACUCUGGUAGUCCACGCCGUAAACGAUGAUAACUAGCUGUCCGGGUUCAUGGAACUU
RNAcentral lists this ribosomal RNA (739 nucleotides) under uncultured Alphaproteobacteria bacterium. RNAcentral describes it as "bacterial SSU rRNA". It matches the Rfam family "Bacterial small subunit ribosomal RNA", at positions 55 to 840 of the family's 1533-position model. The record is from RNAcentral. Lineage: Bacteria; Pseudomonadati; Pseudomonadota; Alphaproteobacteria.